UGAGGAAUAUUGGUCAAUGGACGGAAGUCUGAACCAGCCAAGUAGCGUGCAGGAUGACGGCCCUAUGGGUUGUAAACUGCUUUUGUAUGGGGAUAAAGUCAAUCACGUGUGAUUGUUUGCAGGUACCAUACGAAUAAGGACCGGCUAAUUCCGUGCCAGCAGCCGCGGUAAUACGGAAGGUUCGGGCGUUAUCCGGAUUUAUUGGGUUUAAAGGGAGCGUAGGCCGGAGAUUAAGUGUGUUGUGAAAUGUAGACGCUCAACGUCUGACUUGCAGCGCAUACUGGUUUCCUUGAGUACGCACAACGUUGGCGGAAUUCGUCGUGUAGCGGUGAAAUGCUUAGAUAUGACGAAGAACUCCGAUUGCGAAGGCAGCUGACGGGAGCGCAACUGACGCUGAAGCUCGAAGGUGCGGGUAUCGAACAGGAUUAGAUACCCUGGUAGUCCGCACAGUAAACGAUGGAUGCCCGCUGUUGGUACCUGGUAUCAGCGGCUAAGCGAAAGCAUUAAGCAUCCCACCUGGGGAGUACGCCGGCAACGGU
This 539-nucleotide ribosomal RNA is filed under the name uncultured bacterium. RNAcentral describes it as "bacterial SSU rRNA". It matches the Rfam family "Bacterial small subunit ribosomal RNA", at positions 355 to 895 of the family's 1533-position model. The record is from RNAcentral.